AGAAUCAACGCUGGCGGCGUGCCUCAGACAUGCAAGUCGAACGCGAAAGUCCCCUUCGGGGGGCAAGUAGAGUGGCGCACGGGUGAGUAACACGUAGGUAGUCUACCUUCGGAUGGGGAAUAACAAUCGGAAACGGUUGCUAAUACCGCAUAAUGCAGCGGCACCUAAUGGUGACAGUUGUUAAAGCGGGGGAUCGAAAGACCUCGCGUCUGAAGAGGAGCCUGCGGCGGAUUAGCUAGUUGGUAAGGUAACGGCUUACCAAGGCGACGAUCCGUA
This 276-nucleotide ribosomal RNA is filed under the name uncultured soil bacterium. Its description in RNAcentral is "partial 16S ribosomal RNA". It matches the Rfam family "Bacterial small subunit ribosomal RNA", at positions 26 to 285 of the family's 1533-position model. The record is from RNAcentral.